GCCAGGCAUGGUGGUGCAUGCCUGCAAUCCCAGCUACUUGGGAGGCUGAGGCACGAGAACUGCUUGAACCCAGGAGGCGGAGGUUGCAGUGAGCCUUGAUUGUGACACUGCACUCCAGCCUGGGUGACAGAGCAAGACCGUGUCUCAA
Molecule: non-coding RNA, 148 nt
Organism: Pan troglodytes (chimpanzee)
Lineage: Eukaryota; Metazoa; Chordata; Mammalia; Primates; Hominidae
Rfam family: Metazoan signal recognition particle RNA
About the family: The signal recognition particle (SRP) is a universally conserved ribonucleoprotein.
Source: Rfam